GGGGAUUUAGCUCAGUGGUAGAGCGCUUGCCUAGCAAGCACAAGGCCCUGGGUUUUGUCCCCAGCUCCA
This is a non-coding RNA of Rattus norvegicus (Norway rat), 69 nucleotides long. Lineage: Eukaryota; Metazoa; Chordata; Mammalia; Rodentia; Muridae. The record is from Rfam.